CCUACGGGAGGCAGCAGUGAGGAAUAUUGGUCAAUGGGCGCGAGCCUGAACCAGCCAAGUAGCGUGAAGGAUGACUGCCCUACGGGUUGUAAACUUCUGUUAUAAAGGAAGAAAGUGAGGCACGUGUGCCGUGUUGUAUGUAUGUUAUGAAUAAGGAUCGGCUAACUCCGUGCCAGCAGCCGCGGUAAUACGGAGGAUCCGAGCGUUAUCCGGAUUUAUUGGGUUUAAAGGGAGCGUAGAUGGGUUGUUAAGUCAGUGGUGAAAGUUUGCGGCUCAACCGUAAAAUGGCAAUUGAUACUGGCAGCCUUGAGUACAGUUGCGGUAGGCGGUAUUCGUUGUGUAGCGGU
This 347-nucleotide ribosomal RNA is filed under the name uncultured bacterium. RNAcentral's name for it is "partial 16S ribosomal RNA". It matches the Rfam family "Bacterial small subunit ribosomal RNA", at positions 338 to 682 of the family's 1533-position model. The record is from RNAcentral.